ACCUGGCAGGCUCUGUCGGAAGAGCAUGGGACUCUUGAUCUCGAAGUUGUGAGUUCAAGCCCCAUGUUGGGCA
Transfer RNA from Felis catus (domestic cat), 73 nucleotides. It matches the Rfam family "tRNA". Rfam says of the family: Transfer RNA (tRNA) molecules are approximately 80 nucleotides in length. Their secondary structure includes four short double-helical elements and three loops (D, anti-codon, and T loops). Further hydrogen bonds mediate the characteristic L-shaped molecular structure. tRNAs have two regions of fundamental functional importance: the anti-codon, which is responsible for specific mRNA codon recognition, and the 3' end, to which the tRNAs corresponding amino acid is attached (by aminoacyl-tRNA synthetases). tRNAs cope with the degeneracy of the genetic code in two manners: having more than one tRNA (with a specific anti-codon) for a particular amino acid; and 'wobble' base-pairing, i.e. permitting non-standard base-pairing at the 3rd anti-codon position. NCBI's taxonomy places the organism in Eukaryota, Metazoa, Chordata, Mammalia, Carnivora, Felidae. The record is from Rfam.